This 499-nucleotide ribosomal RNA is filed under the name uncultured bacterium. Its description in RNAcentral is "partial 16S ribosomal RNA". It matches the Rfam family "Bacterial small subunit ribosomal RNA", at positions 28 to 507 of the family's 1533-position model. The record is from RNAcentral.
GACGAACGCUGGCGGCGUGCCUAAUACAUGCAAGUCGAGCGAAGUUUUUCCGGUGCUUGCACCGGAAAAACUUAGCGGCGAACGGGUGAGUAACACGUAAAGAACCUGCCUCAUAGACUGGGACAACUAUUGGAAACGAUAGCUAAUACCGGAUAAUAGCAUUAACUGCAUGGUUGAUGUUUAAAAGUUGGUUUUGCUAACACUAUGAGAUGGCUUUGCGGUGCAUUAGCUAGUUGGUGGGGUAAAGGCCUACCAAGGCGACGAUGCAUAGCCGACCUGAGAGGGUGAUCGGCCACACUGGGACUGAGACACGGCCCAGACUCCUACGGGAGGCAGCAGUAGGGAAUCUUCCGCAAUGGGCGAAAGCCUGACGGAGCAACGCCGCGUGAGUGAAGAAGGAUUUCGGUUCGUAAAGCUCUGUUGUUAGGGAAGAAUGAUUGUGUAGUAACUAGACGCAGUAGAGACGGUACCUAACCAGAAAGCCACGGCUAACUACGUG